This 1737-nucleotide ribosomal RNA is filed under the name Salmonella enterica subsp. enterica serovar Dublin. RNAcentral describes it as "partial 23S ribosomal RNA". It matches the Rfam family "Bacterial large subunit ribosomal RNA", at positions 1223 to 2925 of the family's 2925-position model. Lineage: Bacteria; Pseudomonadati; Pseudomonadota; Gammaproteobacteria; Enterobacterales; Enterobacteriaceae. The record is from RNAcentral.
GUUGGGUAGGGGAGCGUUCUGUAAGCCUGUGAAGGUGGCCUGUGAGGGUUGCUGGAGGUAUCAGAAGUGCGAAUGCUGACAUAAGUAACGAUAAAGCGGGUGAAAAGCCCGCUCGCCGGAAGACCAAGGGUUCCUGUCCAACGUUAAUCGGGGCAGGGUGAGUCGACCCCUAAGGCGAGGCCGAAAGGCGUAGUCGAUGGGAAACGGGUUAAUAUUCCCGUACUUGGUGUUACUGCGAAGGGGGGACGGAGAAGGCUAUGUUGGCCGGGCGACGGUUGUCCCGGUUUAAGCGUGUAGGUGUGUGUUCCAGGUAAAUCCGGUUCACUUUAACACUGAGGCGUGAUGACGAGGCACUACGGUGCUGAAGUAACAAAUGCCCUGCUUCCAGGAAAAGCCUCUAAGCAUCAGGUAACAUCAAAUCGUACCCCAAACCGACACAGGUGGUCAGGUAGAGAAUACCAAGGCGCUUGAGAGAACUCGGGUGAAGGAACUAGGCAAAAUGGUGCCGUAACUUCGGGAGAAGGCACGCUGACACGUAGGUGAAGUGAUUUACUCACGGAGCUGAAGUCAGUCGAAGAUACCAGCUGGCUGCAACUGUUUAUUAAAAACACAGCACUGUGCAAACACGAAAGUGGACGUAUACGGUGUGACGCCUGCCCGGUGCCGGAAGGUUAAUUGAUGGGGUCAGCGCAAGCGAAGCUCCUGAUCGAAGCCCCGGUAAACGGCGGCCGUAACUAUAACGGUCCUAAGGUAGCGAAAUUCCUUGUCGGGUAAGUUCCGACCUGCACGAAUGGCGUAAUGAUGGCCAGGCUGUCUCCACCCGAGACUCAGUGAAAUUGAACUCGCUGUGAAGAUGCAGUGUACCCGCGGCAAGACGGAAAGACCCCGUGAACCUUUACUAUAGCUUGACACUGAACAUUGAGCCUUGAUGUGUAGGAUAGGUGGGAGGCUUUGAAGUGUGGACGCCAGUCUGCAUGGAGCCGACCUUGAAAUACCACCCUUUAAUGUUUGAUGUUCUAACGUGGACCCGUUACCCGGGUUGCGGACAGUGUCUGGUGGGUAGUUUGACUGGGGCGGUCUCCUCCUAAAGAGUAACGGAGGAGCACGAAGGUUGGCUAAUCCUGGUCGGACAUCAGGAGGUUAGUGCAAUGGCAUAAGCCAGCUUGACUGCGAGCGUGACGGCGCGAGCAGGUGCGAAAGCAGGUCAUAGUGAUCCGGUGGUUCUGAAUGGAAGGGCCAUCGCUCAACGGAUAAAAGGUACUCCGGGGAUAACAGGCUGAUACCGCCCAAGAGUUCAUAUCGACGGCGGUGUUUGGCACCUCGAUGUCGGCUCAUCACAUCCUGGGGCUGAAGUAGGUCCCAAGGGUAUGGCUGUUCGCCAUUUAAAGUGGUACGCGAGCUGGGUUUAGAACGUCGUGAGACAGUUCGGUCCCUAUCUGCCGUGGGCGCUGGAGAACUGAGGGGGGCUGCUCCUAGUACGAGAGGACCGGAGUGGACGCAUCACUGGUGUUCGGGUUGUCAUGCCAAUGGCACUGCCCGGUAGCUAAAUGCGGAAGAGAUAAGUGCUGAAAGCAUCUAAGCACGAAACUUGCCCCGAGAUGAGUUCUCCCUGAGACUUAAAGUCUCCUGAAGGAACGUUGAAGACGACGACGUUGAUAGGCCGGGUGUGUAAGCGCAGCGAUGCGUUGAGCUAACCGGUACUAAUGAACCGUGAGGCUUAACCUUACAACGCCGAAG